UACGAAGGGGGCUAGCGUUGCUCGGAAUGACUGGGCGUAAAGGGCGCGUAGGCGGUUUGUACAGUCAGAUGUGAAAUUCCUGGGCUCAACCUGGGGGCUGCAUUUGAUACGUAUGGACUGGAGUGAGGAAGAGGGUCGUGGAAUUCCCAGUGUAGAGGUGAAAUUCGUAGAUAUCGGGAGGAACACCAGUGGCGAAGGCGGCGAUCUGGGAAGAUACUGACGCUGAGGUGCGAAAGCGUGGGGAGCAAACAGG
Molecule: ribosomal RNA, 253 nt
Filed under: uncultured bacterium
Lineage: Bacteria
Description: partial 16S ribosomal RNA
Rfam family: Bacterial small subunit ribosomal RNA
Source: RNAcentral